UUGAUCCUGGCUCAGAUUGAACGCUGGCGGCAGGCCUAACGCAUGCAAGUCGAACGGUAACAGGAAACAGCUUGCUGUUUCGCUGACGAGUGGCGGACGGGUGAGUAAUGUCUGGGAAACUGCCUGAUGGAGGGGGAUAACUACUGGAAACGGUAGCUAAUACCGCAUAACGUCGCAAGACCAAAGAGGGGGACCUUCGGGCCUCUUGCCAUCGGAUGUGCCCAGAUGGGAUUAGCUAGUAGGUGGGGUAACGGCUCACCUAGGCGACGAUCCCUAGCUGGUCUGAGAGGAUGACCAGCCACACUGGAACUGAGACACGGUCCAGACUCCUACGGGAGGCAGCAG
This 345-nucleotide ribosomal RNA is filed under the name uncultured Enterobacterales bacterium. RNAcentral's name for it is "bacterial SSU rRNA". It matches the Rfam family "Bacterial small subunit ribosomal RNA", at positions 13 to 354 of the family's 1533-position model. The record is from RNAcentral. Lineage: Bacteria; Pseudomonadati; Pseudomonadota; Gammaproteobacteria; Enterobacterales.